AUGGAAGGUACUCUUCCAUUGUGCCAUGGACACUGGUUGUGUAUAAGUUCCACCCAACAGAGCAUACAAGUUGUACAGCCUCUGCUUAUUCUUAGAGGCAGAAAUGCUUUAUAUGUUAAGAGCACACCACUGGUGUCCUUCCCUUUGAUGAUUAUGCAUGAAAUUCUACAUCACUUGCUGCAUCUUCAGGUAUUUAUUUUUGAUGUUUUAAACACUAUCUAUAAAGUAUUUUAUAUAGUCAGAAAUGGCACACAAACCGUUAUUUCUUAUGGUGGAAAUGCAGGUUAUAGUGAGAUUCGGCUUCCAAAAUAG
RNAcentral lists this ribosomal RNA (312 nucleotides) under Triticum aestivum (bread wheat). RNAcentral's name for it is "partial small subunit ribosomal RNA". Lineage: Eukaryota; Viridiplantae; Streptophyta; Magnoliopsida; Poales; Poaceae. The record is from RNAcentral.